CAGCCGCCGCGGUAAUACAGAGGGUGCAAGCGUUAAUCGGAAUUACUGGGCGUAAAGCGUGCGCAGGCGGUUAUAUAAGACAGAUGUGAAAUCCCCGGGCUCAACCUGGGAACUGCAUUUGUGACUGUAUAGCUAGAGUACGGCAGAGGGGGAUGGAAUUCCGCGUGUAGCAGUGAAAUGCGUAGAUAUGCGGAGGAACACCGAUGGCGAAGGCAAUCCCCUGGGCCUGUACUGACGCUCAUGCACGAAAGCGUGGGGAGCAAACAGGAUUAGAUACCCCUGUAGUCCCUGUCUCUUAUAC
Molecule: ribosomal RNA, 301 nt
Filed under: uncultured bacterium
Lineage: Bacteria
Description: partial 16S ribosomal RNA
Rfam family: Bacterial small subunit ribosomal RNA
Source: RNAcentral